GUGUCUGGUGGGUAGUUUGACUGGGGCGGUCUCCUCCUAAAGAGUAACGGAGGAGCACGAAGGUUGGCUAAUCCUGGUCGGACAUCAGGAGGUUAGUGCAAUGGCAUAAGCCAGCUUGACUGCGAGCGUGACGGCGCGAGCAGGUGCGAAAGCAGGUCAUAGUGAUCCGGUGGUUCUGAAUGGAAGGGCCAUCGCUCAACGGAUAAAAGGUACUCCGGGGAUAACAGGCUGAUACCGCCCAAGAGUUCAUAUCGACGGCGGUGUUUGGCACCUCGAUGUCGGCUCAUCACAUCCUGGGGCUGAAGUAGGUCCCAAGGGUAUGGCUGUUCGCCAUUUAAAGUGGUACGCGAGCUGGGUUUAGAACGUCGUGAGACAGUUCGGUCCCUAUCUGCCGUGGGCGCUGGAGAACUGAGGGGGGCUGCUCCUAGUACGAGAGGACCGGAGUGGACGCAUCACUGGUGUUCGGGUUGUCAUGCCAAUGGCACUGCCCGGUAGCUAAAUGCGGAAGAGAUAAGUGCUGAAAGCAUCUAAGCACGAAACUUGCCCCGAGAUGAGUUCUCCCUGACCCUUUAAGGGUCCUGAAGGAACGUUGAAGACGACGACGUUGAUAGGCCGGGUGUGUAAGCGCAGCGAUGCGUUGAGCUAACCGGUACUAAUGAACCGUGAGGCUUAACCUUACAACGCCGAAG
Molecule: ribosomal RNA, 689 nt
Filed under: Escherichia coli
Lineage: Bacteria; Pseudomonadati; Pseudomonadota; Gammaproteobacteria; Enterobacterales; Enterobacteriaceae
Description: partial 23S ribosomal RNA
Rfam family: Bacterial large subunit ribosomal RNA
Source: RNAcentral